UGGCGACCGGCGCGACGGGUGCGUAACGCGUAUACGAACCUCGCCCUAUACGACGGGGAUAGUCCUUGACGAAAGUAAGAUUAAUACCCGAUGCCAAGUUGAGAUCGCAUGAUUUUGAUUUGAAAGAAAUUCGGUGAUGGAUGGGGAUGCGUCUGAUUAGCUUGUUGGCGGGGUAACGGCCCACCAAGGCGACGAUCAGUAGGGGUUCUGAGAGGAAGGUCCCCCACAUUGGAACUGAGACACGGUCCAAACUCCUACGGGAGGCAGCAGUGAGGAAUAUUGGUCAAUGGGCGAGAGCCUGAACCAGCCAAGUAGCGUGCAGGAUGACGGCCCUAUGGGUUGUAAACUGCUUUUAUAAGGGAAUAAAGUGAGCCACGUGUGGUUUAUUGUAUGUACCUUACGAAUAAGGAUCGGCUAACUCCGUG
RNAcentral lists this ribosomal RNA (425 nucleotides) under uncultured bacterium. RNAcentral's name for it is "bacterial SSU rRNA". It matches the Rfam family "Bacterial small subunit ribosomal RNA", at positions 89 to 507 of the family's 1533-position model. The record is from RNAcentral.